ACCUUCAUUAAAACGAAAAGAGGU
Molecule: non-coding RNA, 24 nt
Filed under: Arabidopsis thaliana (thale cress)
Lineage: Eukaryota; Viridiplantae; Streptophyta; Magnoliopsida; Brassicales; Brassicaceae
Source: RNAcentral